Molecule: ribosomal RNA, 475 nt
Filed under: uncultured bacterium
Lineage: Bacteria
Description: bacterial SSU rRNA
Rfam family: Bacterial small subunit ribosomal RNA
Source: RNAcentral
CGCUGGCGGCAGGCCUAACACAUGCAAGUCGAGCGGUAGCACAGGAGAGCUUGCUCUCCGGGUGACGAGCGGCGGACGGGUGAGUAAUGUCUGGGAAACUGCCUGAUGGAGGGGGAUAACUACUGGAAACGGUAGCUAAUACCGCAUAACGUCUACGGACCAAAGUGGGGGACCUUCGGGCCUCACGCCAUCAGAUGUGCCCAGAUGGGAUUAGCUAGUAGGUGGGGUAAUGGCUCACCUAGGCGACGAUCCCUAGCUGGUCUGAGAGGAUGACCAGCCACACUGGAACUGAGACACGGUCCAGACUCCUACGGGAGGCAGCAGUGGGGAAUAUUGCACAAUGGGCGCAAGCCUGAUGCAGCCAUGCCGCGUGUGUGAAGAAGGCCUUAGGGUUGUAAAGCACUUUCAGCGAGGAGGAAGGGUAGUGUGUUAAUAGCACAUUGCAUUGACGUUACUCGCAGAAGAAGCACCGGCU